GGAGUUGUAGCUCAGUGGUAGAGCACUUGCCUAGCAUGUGUGAGGCCCUGGGUUCAAUCCUCAGCACCA
This 69-nucleotide transfer RNA is filed under the name Ictidomys tridecemlineatus (thirteen-lined ground squirrel). RNAcentral describes it as "Spermophilus tridecemlineatus (thirteen-lined ground squirrel) tRNA". It matches the Rfam family "tRNA". Rfam says of the family: Transfer RNA (tRNA) molecules are approximately 80 nucleotides in length. Their secondary structure includes four short double-helical elements and three loops (D, anti-codon, and T loops). RNAcentral also lists the same sequence under 1 other name. The record is from Rfam by way of RNAcentral. Lineage: Eukaryota; Metazoa; Chordata; Mammalia; Rodentia; Sciuridae.